This 482-nucleotide ribosomal RNA is filed under the name uncultured bacterium. Its description in RNAcentral is "partial 16S ribosomal RNA". It matches the Rfam family "Bacterial small subunit ribosomal RNA", at positions 30 to 505 of the family's 1533-position model. The record is from RNAcentral.
AUUGAACGCUGGCGGCAGGCCUAACACAUGCAAGUCGAGCGGAUGAAGGGAGCUUGCUCCUGGAUUCAGCGGCGGACGGGUGAGUAAUGCCUAGGAAUCUGCCUGGUAGUGGGGGAUAACGUCCGGAAACGGGCGCUAAUACCGCAUACGUCCUGAGGGAGAAAGUGGGGGAUCUUCGGACCUCACGCUAUCAGAUGAGCCUAGGUCGGAUUAGCUAGUUGGUGGGGUAAAGGCCUACCAAGGCGACGAUCCGUAACUGGUCUGAGAGGAUGAUCAGUCACACUGGAACUGAGACACGGUCCAGACUCCUACGGGAGGCAGCAGUGGGGAAUAGUGGACAAGGGGCGAAAGCCUGAUCCAGCCAUGCCGCGUGUGUGAAGAAGGUCUUCGGAUUGUAAAGCACUUUAAGUUGGGAGGAAGGGCAGUAAGUUAAUACCGUGCUGUUUUGACGUUACCAACAGAAUAAGCACCGGCUAACUUCG